Molecule: ribosomal RNA, 450 nt
Filed under: uncultured bacterium
Lineage: Bacteria
Description: bacterial SSU rRNA
Rfam family: Bacterial small subunit ribosomal RNA
Source: RNAcentral
UGGCCAGACUCCUACGGGAGGCAGCAGUGGGGAAUAUUGCACAAUGGGGGAAACCCUGAUGCAGCAACGCCGCGUGGGUGAAGGAGCGUUUCGGCGCGUAAAGCCCUGUCAGCGGGGAAGAAGAAAGACGGUACCCGACCAAGAAGCCCCGGCUAACUACGUGCCAGCAGCCGCGGUAAUACGUAGGGGGCAAGCGUUAUCCGGAUUUACUGGGUGUAAAGGGUGCGUAGGUGGCAGGGCAAGUCAGAUGUGAAAGCCCGGGGCCCAACCCCGGUACUGCAUUUGAAACUGUCCGGCUGGAGUGCAGGAGAGGUAAGCGGAAUUCCUAGUGUAGCGGUGAAAUGCGUAGAUAUUAGGAGGAACACCAGUGGCGAAGGCGGCUUACUGGACUGUAACUGACACUGAGGCACGAAAGCGUGGGGAUCGAACAGGAUUAGAUACCCCCGUAAC